RNAcentral lists this transfer RNA (71 nucleotides) under Loxodonta africana (African savanna elephant). It matches the Rfam family "tRNA". From Rfam's summary of the family: Transfer RNA (tRNA) molecules are approximately 80 nucleotides in length. Their secondary structure includes four short double-helical elements and three loops (D, anti-codon, and T loops). The record is from Rfam by way of RNAcentral. Lineage: Eukaryota; Metazoa; Chordata; Mammalia; Proboscidea; Elephantidae.
GCAGUGGUGGUUCAGCAGUAGAGUUCUCACCUUCCAUGUGGGAGAUCAGGGUUCGAUUCCCAGUCAACACA